Molecule: long non-coding RNA, 1595 nt
Filed under: Pelobates cultripes (western spadefoot toad)
Lineage: Eukaryota; Metazoa; Chordata; Amphibia; Anura; Pelobatidae
Source: RNAcentral
CUUUUACGUUGCAUUACUGAAAUAAAUUAACUUUUGCACAAUAUUCUAAUUUUUCGAGUAUCAUGUGUAUAAGUGGGUCAAAACAACGAGACAAUUUCCCUGGGAACCCAGUGUUCGAGUGGCUGAAAUUAGUUCCACAGAGUUGAUGACCAAGUACCGUUGUCAGCAUUCGGGAGACAAAAUGGCCCACUGCACUAGAUGUCAUUCGGGACAGGGAAAAUUUAGUCAGGGGAGUGUUCGACAAACGAAAAGUGUGUAAUCUUUGCCUUUGCCAUACCUCCAGUGGGAAAUGGACUGUGGAUGGCCAGGGACCCUCUUUCAAUGUUACAUUUAUCAAAAUAAUGGUUUUAAAGUGAAUGGAGGGAUAUUACCAGGGGCCUUCAGGAAUUAUAACAAAUGUUAACCAGCUUGUCAAAAGCCAGCUUGUAAAGGAUCAAAUUCAUCUGCUAGACCUUACUGAUAUAAUGCCAGUAUAUUUGCUAAAAAUGCACACACCCUGCAGUUAUACAUUACUGGAAGUUUUAAUGUGUUUUUUUUUUUUAUCAUUCCCACAUAUCAGAAAGGGGGAAGGGAUAAACUGAGUCUACCAUUUCACUGUAGGCAUUACCUUAGCAGUCCAUAGCAGGAUAGAGAUUGCUAUAGCAGUUUUAAAUACCUUUAUUUUAGAAAUAUGAUUGAAAUGUAUUUACUGUAUAUAAGAAUUAUGCACAAAUGCAGACCUUUUUACAUUCUGUUGCCAUUUUGAGUAAGCUGUACUGCUAGUAAUGCCUUCAGUGUCUUUGCAAAUACUUAUAAGCAAGGUAUUUGACCACUUUUAUUUCUUUUUUUGUCACAUCUACUAUAUAUGAGACAAAAAUUUUUUCCUUUUCAUACUAACAUUUUAAACUCUGUGAAAUAUUGCAAGACGAAGUACACUGUAUACUGUCUAACGCUCUUCGUUUCCCAAAUAUUUUUAUUUAAAAAAUGGAUAAGUGAAAAAUAAAAAUUGUGUACAUUUACAUACUUUACAUUUUAAAGCUUGCAUAGCAACACAAUAGCUGUGUUUUUAUGUAUAUGACCAGCUGUGCAGCCAUUGCUUCAAAUAAAUGUUAUAUUAUAUUUAGUUUUCAAUCAAAAAGUGCUCGGUAGUGAAGGGGAUAAAGGACUGCCCAAGCACAAAAACACUCAAUGGUAACGAAUCGUUUUUGGUGAAAAAGACCCAGACAUUUCUUUUUGUGCCACUCGAGGCAUAUCCUCGCUGAAUAAUUUCAGUUAUUUACGGUCUUCAUGUUCUGUGUACUAAGCACCUAUGAGGAUGAGCCUAAUAGAGGAGGAAUGGCUGCCAGGAGGAUGCAGCCUAAUGCUUUAUUAAAGACCAUUAUUGGAACCAGAUUCGUUGUGAAAAAAAUGUUUUCAAAACAAGGAAUCUCAGAAACUUGAAAGGAUCUAUUGGUAUCUGAUGAGUCCUACAAAUGUUAACCAACCAUCCUUAUAACUUUCUUGAAAUAUUGUUGUAAAAGACUCCAUCUUGAAUUACAUUCUUUCCUAGGAAUAGGUUUAUUCUUUUCAGGUUUAUAAUUAAUCUCCAAUGGCUUUGGGGCCUAAGACACAAGGAG